ACCGCCACAGAAGGCGAAAGAGCCGUCGA
RNAcentral lists this small RNA (29 nucleotides) under Bombyx mori (domestic silkworm). RNAcentral describes it as "ovarian small RNA-11313". Lineage: Eukaryota; Metazoa; Arthropoda; Insecta; Lepidoptera; Bombycidae. The record is from RNAcentral.